RNAcentral lists this long non-coding RNA (1228 nucleotides) under Homo sapiens (human). RNAcentral describes it as "family with sequence similarity 27 member C". The record is from RNAcentral. Lineage: Eukaryota; Metazoa; Chordata; Mammalia; Primates; Hominidae.
GGGCUCUGAGGAUCCGGCCUCACCUCUCCACGGGGUCGACGGGAACGUCUCCGGAUGCCAGGAGUCGCAAAGGGCCGACCACGAUGAGGAAACCCCAGGCUGGGACGGGGGAAGCAGCACGGGAUCCCAGCCUCAGGCCUGCCCGGACGGUGUUGGUUGGGAGACGAGGUCUCACUAUAUUGACCAGGCUGGUCUUGAACUCCUGGCCUUAAGCGAUCCUCCUGCCUUGGCCUCCCAAAGUGCUGGAGUUACAGAUGUGAGCCUCUGUGCUCAGUCCAUCCUUGGCUGUUCAAGUGUAGAGGGCUAACACCAUACUCAAUGAUGAAAACCUGAAAACUUUCCCUAAGAUCAAGAACAAGGCGGGGCGGUUCCAAGAUGGCCGAAUAGGAACAGCUCCAGUCUAAGCUCCCAGCAUAAGUGAUGGAGAAGAUGGGUGAUUUCUGCAUUUCCAACUGAGCCUGAAGAGCUUCCUUUAGGAUUUCUUGUGAGACAAGUCAGCUUUUAUUUGUCUGGAAAAGUCUUUAUCUCACUUUUAUUUGUGAAGAACUGCUUUGGCAGAGAGUUCUCCCAGUCUCCUGGAUCACACUGGUCGGAAAGCUGUUUGGUAGACAACCUUCGAGUCUUUCUGCCUUCAUACUGUGGGUAUACCGUUCUCCCAACUGAAAACCCGUUUAUUUUCUUAUCUGUCUACUCAAAGCCUAACCAACACCAAAUGGCCUAGAAAUGCCACGUACCUACCAGUUGCCUCUUUCCUCCUCCAGCCCUUGUGAAUGUGAAUUCACAUCUCUGUUCUCUGUGUUCCUUGGCCACUUAGUACCAUUCACAAUAUCUCUCAUAGCUAGCUCUCUGCCUUAGGGCUGGCCCAUGGGACUAAAAUUCCUUGUGGUAGGUAUUUUUUUUUCAUAUUUCUAUUCUUAUAGCAUCUAGCAUAGAACAAACAGCCUAGUAUCUAGUGGGUAUCCAAUAACAACUUAUGCAGGUGAUUAGGCAAGAAAAAGAAAUAAAGCCUAUUCAAAUUGGAAAGGUGGAAGUCAAAUUGUCCCUAUUUGCUGGCAACAUAAUCUUAUAUAUAGAAGAACUUAAACACUCUGCCAAAAAUCCAUUAGAUGUGAUAAACAAUUCAGUAAGGUUGUAUUGUAUGUAUCAAAACAUCCCUAUGUAACCCAUAGAGAUGUAUAAUUAUUUUAUGUUGAUCAAAAAUAAAAUAAUAAAAGCUCUUAAUAAAACA